Molecule: ribosomal RNA, 460 nt
Filed under: uncultured bacterium
Lineage: Bacteria
Description: partial 16S ribosomal RNA
Rfam family: Bacterial small subunit ribosomal RNA
Source: RNAcentral
CCUACGGGAGGCAGCAGUGAGGAAUAUUGGUCAAUGGGCGAGAGCCUGAACCAGCCAAGUCGCGUGAAGGAUGAAGGAUCUAUGGUUUGUAAACUUCUUUUAUAUGGGGAUAACAUGAGGAACGUGUUCCUGUUUGUAUGUACCAUAUGAAUAAGCAUCGGCUAACUCCGUGCCAGCAGCCGCGGUAAUAAGGAGGAUGCGAGCGUUAUCCGGAUUUAUUGGGUUUAAAGGGGGCGUAGGUGGUUCAUUAAGUCAGCGGUGAAAGUUUGUGGCCCAACCAUAAACUUGCAGUUGAAACUGGUUGACUUGAGUAUAUAUGAGGUAGGCGGAAUGCGUGGUGUAGCGGUGAAAUGCAUAGAUAUCACGCAGAACGCCGAUUGCGAAGGCAGCUUACUAAACUAUAACUGACACUGAAGCUCGAAGGCGUGGGGAUCAAACAGGAUUAGAUACCCCAGUAGUC